RNAcentral lists this transfer RNA (69 nucleotides) under Praslinia cooperi. RNAcentral's name for it is "tRNA-Pro". It matches the Rfam family "tRNA". Rfam says of the family: Transfer RNA (tRNA) molecules are approximately 80 nucleotides in length. Lineage: Eukaryota; Metazoa; Chordata; Amphibia; Gymnophiona; Indotyphlidae. The record is from RNAcentral.
CAGAAAAUAGUUUAAUAAGAAUUUUGGCUUUGGGUGCCAAUGGUGGGGAUGAAAUUUCUUCUUUUUUGA